Molecule: ribosomal RNA, 433 nt
Filed under: uncultured bacterium
Lineage: Bacteria
Description: partial 16S ribosomal RNA
Rfam family: Bacterial small subunit ribosomal RNA
Source: RNAcentral
AACGAACGCUGGCGGCAUGCCUAACACAUGCAAGUCGAACGAGACCUUCGGGUCUAGUGGCGCACGGGUGCGUAACGCGUGGGAACCUGCCCUUAGGUUCGGAAUAACUCCCCGAAAGGGGUGCUAAUACCGGAUAAUGUCUCCGGACCAAAGAUUUAUCGCCUUUGGAUGGGCCCGCGUUGGAUUAGCUAGUUGGUAGGGUAAAAGCCUGCCAAGGCGACGAUCCAUAGCUGGUCUGAGAGGAUGAUCAGCCACACUGGGACUGAGACACGGCCCAGACUCCUACGGGAGGCAGCAGUGGGGAAUAUUGGACAAUGGGCGAAAGCCUGAUCCAGCAAUGCCGCGUGAGUGAUGAAGGCCUUAGGGUUGUAAAGCUCUUUUACCCGGGAUGAUAAUGACAGUACCGGGAGAAUAAGCUCCGGCUAACUCCGUG